AAUGGGCUUUCUACUCUGGAUGCUGCUCCCAUGCUCUGACACGAUGCCUACUACAAUGUUCUCCAAAAUGUCCACAAAGGUGACUUAAGUCAGGUUCUCCCAAACCAGAUACCAAGACAAGAAUCCAUGUUCGUGUGACUGAAGGAAGUGCUGGGAGAGCCCCAGCUGCAGCCUGGAUGUGAACUGCAACUCUAAGGUGUGUCCAGACUCAAAGCAAGGGCACUAGGCUUUCCAGACCUCCUCCAAGUCGUUGAUCCAGCACUGCCCUGCCAGGACAUAAAUCCCUGGCACCUCUUACUCUCUGCAAAGGAAGGCAAAGCAGCUUCAGGAGCCCUUGGGAGUCCUUCAAAGAGAGUCUAGGGUACAGGUCCGAAGGUAGAAGAACACAGAAGGCAGGCCAGGGGCACUGCCAGAUGGUAAAAGAGAUCUGAAGGGAUCCAGAAUUCAAGCCAGGAAGAAGCAGCAUUCUGUCUUCUGGAUUAAAACUGAAGAUCAACCUACUUUCAACUUACUAAGAAAGGGGAUCAUGGACAUUGAAGCAUAUCUUGAAAGAAUUGGCUAUAAGAAGUCUAGGAACAAAUUGGACUUGGAAACAUUAACUGACAUUCUUCAGCACCAGAUCCGAGCUGUUCCAUUUGAGAACCUUAACAUCCAUUGCGGGGAAGCCAUGGACUUAGGCUUAGAGGCCAUUUUUGAUCAAGUUGUGAGAAGAAAUCGGGGUGGAUGGUGUCUCCAGGUCAAUCAUCUUCUGUACUGGGCUCUGACCUCUAUUGGUUUUGAGACCACGAUGUUGGGAGGGUAUG
Molecule: small RNA, 803 nt
Filed under: Pongo abelii (Sumatran orangutan)
Lineage: Eukaryota; Metazoa; Chordata; Mammalia; Primates; Hominidae
Description: processed transcript
Source: RNAcentral